This 719-nucleotide ribosomal RNA is filed under the name uncultured fungus. RNAcentral describes it as "eukaryotic LSU rRNA". It matches the Rfam family "Eukaryotic large subunit ribosomal RNA", at positions 24 to 664 of the family's 3401-position model. Lineage: Eukaryota; Fungi. The record is from RNAcentral.
CCCGCUGAACUUAAGCAUAUCAAUAAGCGGAGGAAAAGAAACUAACAAGGAUUCCCCUAGUAACGGCGAGUGAAGCGGGAAGAGCUCAAAUUUAAAAUCUGGCUGGCUUUGGUUGCCCGAGUUGUAGUCUAGAGAAGCGUUUUCCGUGCUGGCUGAGGCCCAAGUCUCCUGGUACAGGGCAUCAUAGAGGGUGAGAAUCCCGUCCAUGGUCUCAAGCCUUUCAUUUUGUGAUACGUUUUCUAAGAGUCAGGUUGUUUGGGAAUGCAGCCUAAAAUGGGUGGUAAAUUUCAUCUAAAGCUAAAUAUUGGCGAGAGACCGAUAGCGAACAAGUACCGUGAGGGAAAGAUGAAAAGAACUUUGAAAAGAGAGUUAAAAAGUACGUGAAAUUGUUGAAAGGGAACCGUUUGAAGCCAGUCUUGCUUGCUUGUGAUCAAUCUUUGCUUCGGCUUGGAUGCACUCUCAGGUUAUGCAGGUCAACGUCAGUUUGAGAGGUGGGAAAAAAGCUUGAGGAAUGUGGCCUUCGGGUGUUAUAGCCUCUUGCUAAAUACCAUCUUUUGGACUGAGGCUCGCAGCAAAAAUGUGGGCAGGUUUGCGUUUGAGGUGAUACAUUAUUAAGACAGCUUGCUGACUUAGUUUUGUCUAUCUUCACUGUAAGCUUCGCUUCUAAUUUGCUUAGGUCGUUGACAUAAUGGCUUUAAAUGACCCGUCUUGAAACACGG